This 161-nucleotide ribosomal RNA is filed under the name uncultured Agrococcus sp. RNAcentral describes it as "partial 16S ribosomal RNA". It matches the Rfam family "Bacterial small subunit ribosomal RNA", at positions 374 to 535 of the family's 1533-position model. Lineage: Bacteria; Bacillati; Actinomycetota; Actinomycetes; Micrococcales; Microbacteriaceae. The record is from RNAcentral.
GGCGCAGCCUGAUGCAGCACGCCGCGUGAGGGACGAAGGCCUUCGGGUUGUAAACCUCUUUUAGCAGGGAAGAAGCGAAAGUGACGGUACCUGCAGAAAAAGCACCGGCUAACUACGAUGCCAGCAGCCGCGGUAAUACGACCACAGCCGCGGUAAUACGA